GUCAAGAACCUGACGGGAUAAACCCGUAGGCAUGAAAGUGCCUUGCUUGACUAGCCUAAGGUCGUAGAGACCUACGUUACCGGCGAAUGCAUAGGCACCGGCGGAUGUUGUCCUAGUCCGCCGCUCUGC
Molecule: small RNA, 129 nt
Filed under: uncultured Bullifex sp.
Lineage: Bacteria; Pseudomonadati; Spirochaetota; Spirochaetia; Spirochaetales; Spirochaetaceae
Description: HNH endonuclease-associated RNA and ORF (HEARO) RNA
Rfam family: HNH endonuclease-associated RNA and ORF (HEARO) RNA
Source: RNAcentral